This is a long non-coding RNA of Anoplopoma fimbria (sablefish), 374 nucleotides long. RefSeq lists it as uncharacterized. The record is from RefSeq and is a predicted model, not a curated record. NCBI's taxonomy places the organism in Eukaryota, Metazoa, Chordata, Actinopteri, Perciformes, Anoplopomatidae. The transcript is spliced from 3 exons.
UGUAUAAAGUGCAUUAGCCCUGGUGCCUGUAGUGUUCAAGUUCUUCCCGAAUUCAGCGGUCCAGGACUUGUUUUGGAUACACUUCUGUUUAUGCCAGCUUCUGGAAUCUGUGGCUAUCCCUAUCCACCAAGUGCCUGCUGGGAUGGACAUGCCGAGACAGAGUGGAUGGAUAAAUCCACAUCCUUUGGAAUAACAGCUGAGUCCCCAACUGGCCUCAUCACACCAGAUCUCCCUGCUCUCUUCUCACUGACCCUCUAAAUAUAGAAUAACAGGCGGAGAGGUUUAUCUACAAAUGUUGGAUGGGACCAGCAUGAAACAAAGCACAGAGAAACUCCUAUUACAACACACUCAGAGGGAGAGUGACUUCAUUCUCC